UAAGGAUAACUACGGAAAAGCUGUAGCUAAUACUUGAACGAUUGUUCUUCAGUUCCCCAAAAAGGUUCUGUAGAACACGUAUUUGUUAAGCCUAAUAAGAAAAAAGUUAUUAACUUAAGGAAUUAUAACAAAGAAGGAACACAUAAUAAAACUUUGUUUUAUUUAGUGUGUAUCAAUCGAGUUUCUGACCUAUCAGCUUUUGAUGUUAGGGUAUUGGCCUAACAUGGCUAUGACGGGUAACG
Molecule: ribosomal RNA, 242 nt
Filed under: Plasmodium relictum
Lineage: Eukaryota; Apicomplexa; Aconoidasida; Haemosporida; Plasmodiidae
Description: partial 18S ribosomal RNA
Rfam family: Eukaryotic small subunit ribosomal RNA
Source: RNAcentral